This 733-nucleotide long non-coding RNA is filed under the name Panax ginseng (ginseng). Its description in RNAcentral is "long non-coding RNA (PGIN_LNC000087)". The record is from RNAcentral. Lineage: Eukaryota; Viridiplantae; Streptophyta; Magnoliopsida; Apiales; Araliaceae.
UUUAUAUUUUGGCAAUGGUUUCAUUAAUAGUUUAGUAUUAAUUAAACUGUUAAUGAUAAUGGAAUUGUUUAAUGUUUAAAUCGUUUAAUUAUGUUUCCGAUGUUUGAAAGUUAUAGCCGGUCAAACUAGCUGACUUGAGAACCGGUUAUGAAAUUCUGAAUGUGAUGAAGAACACCUAUAGCAACAGUUAUGUCACUAUAGGCCCGUUAGUGACAGAUUUGAAUUAUUUGAAAAUUUUCAAUUUCUUGAAAUUCCAAAAAUGAUUAAAAAUAAAAUGUCUGAUAUUUACAGAUGUUGAAGUAUAGAAUAAGAGUCUUAGACUCAGUAAUUACCCGAUAAAGCAGUCGGUACGCCGACAAAUGUCAGACCUUAUAAAAGAAAGAAAAGGCUACUGUAAGAGCAUGGAUGAGAUAUUUGAAAAAUGUAUAAAAAUAUUUCAAGUAUAGAAUAUGCACUAAAAGUAUGAUCACUGUAAUUAUGUGAUGACGUGAUUAGACUAUGUGCUGACUGUAAUAGACAGUACUAUGUGUUAAUAUAUAUUGUUCUAAUUGAACGAAUGAUCUAAUUAUUGAUAGGUUACGAUAAAGAGAUAAAACCUAAGUUGAGAUUUGUAAUUAGCAAAUCAGGCAAGUAUCCUACCUUUGCACUUCCUUUAUGUAAUGGACAUGAGUAAGAAGUUUCAGAAUUAUUCUAUCCCUGUACAGAUUAUGUACUCUUUGAUUAUCGACAUGUU